GUUUCAUUACCCGCAACCCGGCAGAGAUUUCAAAAACUAACCCUUAGAAAACCCCUGCCCGGACCUAUCUUUCCCGCCAACAUAAGAUCCACAAUUGCAUCUAUUCAACCACCCUUGAUCCGUGUCUCCUUCAAUUCAAUCUAACCACAGAACAAAAAAAAUGCAUAAAAGGUUUAUAGAUCUCUCGAUCUAUCAAUCUCGGGAGGGCUAUAGAGGAUUUCUAUUGAUGUUUUGAAAACAUUAAAAAAUGGGGGAAACCCUAAUGGAGACCCGUAUAAUUCGGAUAAACCCUAAAAGCAAACACGCCAUCGUAGCAAAUCAGGAAAACAGAAAGAAAAGGAAACGGAGCCAUACCAGUUCUGGAAUCAACAAGACGGAAUGCUGGCCUGAAUCUGAUGUGAAGAGGAGACAGAGAAUUCAGAACAAAUUUUUAUUUCUUCAGAUCCGAGAGCAAUUCCAGCUUAAAAAGCACAAUCCAAAGCAUGAAGACAAAGUCUGGAUAAGAAUGCACUGAAUAUGUAACGUAAAAUCACUCCCCUUCACUGCUCUUUGUCUUUGUACGGAUUUGAGUGCUCUCUUCUCUCUCUCUGUUUAUGUGUGUGUAUGUAUUUGGGGGUGGGGAUGGAGUGUGGGCUGGAAUAGGACUGGGAUUACAGUAAUUCAUUCUUGAAUUUCCGUCCAAGCCUGUUGUUGCUCCGACGCGUGGUGGUUUGGAGAGUGGUUUGGACUCUGGGCCACCAGCCAAUUUCUCUAAUGACGCGCCUCUUAUAGCAUGUCUCUCUUACGCUCGUAUAAGUACAGCGCGUCUAUUUCCGGCUCGUAUAAGUUCAGCGCGUAUAUUCCCCGCUCGUAUAAGUUCAGCGCGUAUAUUUUCACAAGGGAAAAUUAUACCCCAGGUUCUAGCCUUUAUUCGUUGGAUAUUUGUGUCCCCAAGCUAUAAAUGCAAUAACUUUAAAUCGUGCUUUUCAUACUUGAUCCAGACUUCAACUUGGUUGAAGUGGUAGAUUUGCAAGUUUUGGUUCAAUCGGUGGCCAAUAGGUUAUUAUAUGUUCAAAAAUCUAAAAUGAUAAUUGCUUUGUUUGAAAAAACAAGGAAUACUAUUUAGGCUUAAAAGUUGAUGUGUGUUAUGAUUUAAAACUAAAUGCGAAUAAUUUAGUGUAUCAUGGAAAUACAAUUAAAUGAAUAGUUUUCUCAAGUAUGUUAUAGUUUUAAUUAUUCUCAUUAAAUCUACUCUGUCCAAUCUCCCGACUUAUUUCCUGUCACUGUUUCCUAUCCCUAGUACAGUGGCAAACAGAUUAAAAAGGAUUCAAAGGAAGUUUCUUUGGGCAGGGCUAGGGGAAGAGAGGAAAUUUCAUUUGGUUAAUUGGGGUGUGGUUUGUUCUCUUGUUAGGAUGGGGGGGCCUUGGAGUGAGGAGCUUUGUUCUAUUUAAUAAGGCUUUAUUGGGCAAGUGGUUGUGGCGAUUUGGAGUGGAGAGGGAGAGUCUUUGGAGACAAAUCAUAGGAGCGAAGUUUGGUUUGAUGGAGGGGGGUUGGUGCUCGAUCGAGGGUCGUGAAUCUUAUGGGGUGAGUUUGUGGAAGUAUAUCCGACGAGGAUGGAAUGAUUUUCGAGAGAAAUUGGCUUAUGUGACGGGGAAUGGCAAUAGUAUCAGAUUUUGGGAUGAUUGUUGGUGUGGAGAUCUUCCCCUAAAGGCACAGUUUCCUUCUUUGCAUUGCAUUGCCUUGCAGCCUACUGCUAUGGUGAAUGAUGUCCUAGCCAUAUAUAAUGGAAAUUAUAGCUGGAAUAUUGCCUUCGAGAGGGGUUUGCAGGAUUUGGAACUGGAUGAUUAUGCACUGUUUUUUACCUCCUUGCAUGAAGUGCAUAUUCAAGUGGGAGGAGAUGAUAAGAGCAGAUGGAAGUUGACACGGGAUGGUAUUUUCUCAUUUUGCACUUAUUUUAGAUUUAUAUUGGGAUCGAUGGAGAUUUCAUUUCCUUGGAAGAUGGUGUGGCAAUGUAAACUGUCCCCACGGGUGGCUUUCUUGUUAUUGACGGUUGUGAGGGGGCAGGCAUUAACGGUGGAUAAUCUUUGUAGAAAAGAUUUUUACGUUACCGAAUGGUAUUAUAUGUGCAAGAGAGACAGAGAAACGAAUGACCAUUUGUUCCUUCAUUGUGAAGAUGUCCGGUGGUUGUGGAACACUAUUCUAGCUUUUCAACAUAUGGAUUGGGUGAUGCCUAGGCGUAUGGAGGAUGUGUUGCGGGCAUGGAGGAGAAAAUUUCGAGAUAAAGAUAGUAGGCUUGCAUGGAACCUUAUUCCGGGAUACAUUGUAUGGUGUGUAUGGAGAGAAAGGAACAACCGUUGUUUCGAAGACCAAGCAAGAACAACUGAGCAAAUUAGAGAAUGAUUUUAUAUGACUUUGUAUACUUUGUUUAAGGCUACAGCCACAAAUUAUGUAGAAGGGCUACCAAACUUUAUGUCGUUUCUUUCCUGUUUAAAUUGAUAAUACACCCCCAUGUAUUAUCUAUUAAUAAAAUUACUUGAUUGCUUAUAAAAAAAAAAAGUAUGUUAUAGUUUUAAACUUGAUUUUAUAUGAUAAGUCAUAAGCAAUUUUAUAAAAAUCAACAUGUUAGUAGUAUUUAUACCGUUUAUAAUUUGUAUAUUGGUCGAAAGUUUGAUCCCUACAGCAAAUAAAAUGCAUUUUGAACCUUACUAGCCAAUUUUUAUUUAGAAUUUAUGUUGGCCGACUUUUCAUAAAAACUGCCCAAUUAGGACUAAAAUUGAUGAGAUGGUACUUAUUUGAUUGGUUAUGGUGGUCCUUGACCAAGACAUUUGCAGACUGGAUCUUUGAGAAAACCGGGACUAUAUUGCAAAUCAGGUAAUUUUGAAGAAAAAGUGCCUUUUUACCGCGUGUAAUUAUUUUCACAUUGUAGUUUUAUUUUUGUUUCACCACAUUUUAAUUGCAAUGAAGGUCCUCAACUUUUGCUUAUUGUCGCACUUUUAUCUUCCAUUAGAUAGUAUUGCCAAGCAGCCAUAAGUUUAUUGUGAUGAUUUCACAGUCGAAAUACUUGGCUGUUAAAGAAGAAGUUUAGAAAUGAAGUGUCAGUUGAACAUGUAAGCACCGAAGUUAUGAUUGUAGACCCAUUAAGGAAAAGGGUAGCACCAAAUAUAUUAAAAGAACAUGUUGAAAGAAUGGGUAUUUAUGAGUAUUUUGACACUCGAAGGUUACUUAUAUGUUUUUGGUAAUUCAUGUUUAAUUAUGCUAUAAAUGAAUGAUUUAUAGCCGCAAUACUCCUGAGGACAUUGAUUUUGGACAUAAUGAAUGUUCUUUACUUAUGGAUAACAUUAAGCUAAGAAUUAGUGAAGUGUUUCUUGGAAGGAACUAAGUCGAAUUAAUGACGUACAAUCGCCAUUCUCUCAUUAGAUUUUAGCUAGCUUAUGAUGUACGUUGUGACCAAUUAAGGAAGCAAUUCAUUAAUGAGAAUGUGCAUGGUAUGUUCAAUUAAUCAUAUUACGGAAAAUCAUAUCAACCAAGUGGGAGAAUAUAAGAAUAUUAUGCGGCUCAUGCAAUUUACAAAAGUAAACUUUUGAAUAAAAUUCUAAAUGUGAUGGUUUAAUGAAGCAAAACGAAUUCUUUAUCAUUGAUAUAUCUCAUGCACGUUACAAAUAAAUAAAGUUUACAUGUUAGUUGAAUUAAAUGAAUGUUGUAAAACACCGCUUUUGCAUUGAAGUAAGGUAAUUCAUGAAUGUGACCGAUGGAUGUGCAUAAAGCAGUGUUCUAAAAGGUGUAAUGCGCGGCGAUGCACAGAGGCCAAGCUAUGGGCUAGGAGAGCUUAGGCGAGGGCGAGGCAUAAGCGUAAAAAGGUGUUUUUUUAUUUCAAUAUUAUUUUAGUUUUUAAUCAAUCGAAAAAUUGUUUAAUAAUUAAAAAUAAUACUUGCGAAACAUCUAACACAAAUUUAUAGGAAAUUUAUACAUUUCUCCAAAGUUUUCAACAAAAAAUUAAGUUCCAAAUAUAAAUAUUAAAUAGUAAAUAAAUAGGAAUUUUGGGAGAUUUUCUUUGUUCAAAACUUCAAGAGCCUAUUUUAAAUUUAAAAGCGACGAAGUGAAGAAAUCAACAUAUAAGUUUUAACUUAGAAGAAUUGUAGUAAUUAAAAAAAAAGAAAAAGAAAAGAGAUAAUUAACCGCGCCUAGGCGCUCAUUAGCGGUCAACAAUUGCUCUUGACCGCUAAAUAAAACACCAAGCCACUUGGUUUGGCAUUUCCGUCGCGCAAAGCACAUUGGUGGCGGUGUGCCAAUGCACGCCUUUUAGAACUAUGACAUUUAGAAUGCUAUAAAAAGUGGCCAACAGGUCCUCUCUCCACUCAUUAAAUUUUGUACGCCGCCGCCAAUGCGCACCUUUUAGAACUGUGACAUUUAGAAUGCUAUAAAAAGUGGUCAACAGGUCCUCUGUCCACUCAUUAAAUUUUGUACCUAUCCUAUCAUUAUACUGUACAUAUAAAAGUGAGAAUAAGAGAGAAACGUGUUCUUGCACAAUUUCCUUUGCAGUUACCGGCUCUCAAAAUAUCAAUGGACAGCAAAGUUUUUUCUUUCUUGUAUUUUAACAUGUGAAAAUAUAAAGUUCUAAAGUCGGGAUUAGUUGUUCAUGUGGCAAUUUUUUUCUUCUGCCAUUCUCAGUUCAGUAGGAAUGGGUACUGUUGAAUUUUCAGACUUUACAUCAUUUCUUCUCCGUUCUGUGCAAAUUGCUCAAAGAGAAUCCAUGUACAGAGACCAGGUCACAAAAGUUGUCAGAAGCCUCUGAUGUCGCAAGGCUUUCUUCCCAUGGUGGCAUUUUGAAGCAAUCUGUAUUUGAUUCCUCACCCAUAAAGGUUCAUGGACAUUCAUCAACUGUCAGCUCCAUGUCAUGGGAGAAUUUUAGAUUCUUGGUCUUCAACUAUGAUUUUCCUACCGAAAGCAAGACAUUCAUAGAUUACAAAGUAUCUCAGGUAUCUGUCUCUAUUUGACCAUUAUUUAUAUAUUUUUUAGCUUUAUAUUUUUUAAUUUUUUUUCAUUUGAGUGCACUUCUUUAUGGUAACCGGUGUUUGCAUAUCGUGGUUCCCUAGAAGAUACCGAACACCAUUCACUUUGAUUUAAUUCCUUUCUUUCCAAGGGGAAAUCAUUAUAUUUAGUUUGGUAAGGGCACCAAAGUGGUUAAAUAUAAAACUUUUGAACAGGCUACAACUCCAUGGAAGCAAGUUGUAUCUUGGCAUGAAAAGAAAGCAAGAACAGAAUGUGGGAAAAAAUCAUCAUUUGUGUAUUUGAACGGACAAUAAUAUGUUUUUUCGGAAGCUUGGUUGUUAAACUCCAGAUCGAAAUCCUACAACUCUACAAUCUCAAAUGACAAACGAUCCAAUCCUAUUUUAGGAUCUUAAAAUUAUAGAAUCUUGCUAUGCCAAAUGUUGUAUUUUAACAAUUUAGUGAUUCUAACUAUCCUAAUGAUCUUCCAUCUUUUUAUCAAUAUAGACUUUUUAGCUUUACUUUAGUAUAUUAAAAUUGUUGAAUCUUAGUUUGGAAGACGUGUUAAAGGUAUGAAGGAGAAAGUUCCGUAAUAAGAAUAGCAAGCUUAUAUAAGACCUUAUUCUGGGUUGCAUCAUAUGGUGUGUGUGGAGAGAAAGAAAUAACUUCUGCUUUGAUAAUCAAGCAGACAACAGAGUAGAUUAGAGAAUUGUUUUAUUUGACGUUGUAUAAUUGGUUUAACGCUACAACUCCUUGGCAUAUAGACGAGUUGCCCAAUUUCAUGUUGUUUCUUUCAUAUUUAAAUUGAUAAUACACUCUUGUGUAUUAUCUAUUGAUUAAUAAAAUACUUGAUUACUUUAAAAAAAAAAAAAUGGGUAUGCCACAUUCACCCUUUUUCUUUUUCGAGAUGAUAUGCAUCCAUCUACUCGAGAUCACUCCUCUUGGCUUUGAAAGGCUUUCUAGAAAUCUGGCGUAACGUUGGAAAAUUUACAUACCUUUUAGUGGUUUCAUGCUUUGACAGAUUGGGGAAGUCAUAAAGUAACAUCGCAGUUAGAUAUUGGAAAGAGACAUUUCGCUUCUUUGUUUGGUCUACUUAAAUCAUCCUGAAGUAAUAAAGCUGCUUCAGCAAUCAGUGAUUCCUUUAAUUUUCUUCCAAUUUUCGUAUACAUUAUUAAAUCACUGGCGACUCCCUAAUUAUUUUGAUUGCAUAUUUGGAGUGCAGAAAACAUUUUAAAGAUGAAGUGAAGAGGCAAAUACAAUUCUUUCUUGUUUAUUACUGAAAAAAGGUUCUGCAUUCAGGGUAACCAGUGUUAAAGUCAAAAUCUUCGCCUUUUGGUGAGUCAUUGCAGAGGAGAACCUAUUCAGCAGAAGAUUCUGAAUUUACAAGAAAAAUGCACAUUGUAGACUCUGAAGCAUUGAUCAAUAUGGAGAAAGAUGAUCUAAUAGGCAUACCGAGGAGGAUCCAUGGGAAUUUUUCUUUUCAAACUACUGAAGGAUCAACGUACAUUAGGUACAAGACCUAGCACUUCUGGUCCCAAACGGCAAGUUAUUCAACUAAACAUACCUGGGAAAACAGAUCUGAAUCUUUGCAGCUGGAUGGUGGAGUAAGAAGAUUCAAACCUCUGAAGACUGGAUGACUGGUAUAGACCCAUUCUAGAGUUAGAUUUUUUGUUUUUUGUCCCUUUUUUUUUUUUUUUUUUUGUGGCUGUGGGAUUAGAAUCUGGAAGUGGCAAAGCUGAUCAAAAUUCUAGCAAACUAAAGGAGGUCCCUGAUUGUUUCCAGUCGGCUGUUGAAUAUGUAGAAAUUUUUCGACCAUUGGCACUAGAAGAAUUCAAAGCACAAUUGUGGAGUUCCUUCCGAGAAACGGCUUCAGUAGAAGAAAUGUGUUGUGGAAGCCUAUCUGUGCUUUCAAGGGAGAGAAUUGAUGAUCUUCACUUUGUUCGUGUAGUCUAUACCUGAAACAAGUCAGAUAUAUCUAAAUUAUGCGAGAAAAUUUAAUGAGUAGUCGCUAAACUUUACUAUAGGUUACGUCUUGCUCAUCGAUAUUUAAAAAGUUACUCGUUGCUCAUUUAAUUUUACUGUAAAUUACUACUUACUCAUCAAAAUUUAAAAGAAUAAUCAUUGCUCAUCUAAAUUUAAUAAAGUUAUUCGUUGCUCACUGAACUUUGCAAUAUGUAACACUUACGGUAAUAAUAUAGGUGAUUGAUGGGUAACUUUGUUCAAAUUUAGGUGAGCAAUAAGCAACCUUUUAAAAUUUGGGCAACAAGUGGUAACUUAUAGCAAAGUUUAGUAAAGAUAACACUUUAAAUUUCGGUGAACAAGUAGUAACCUAUAGUAAAGUUCAAUAACCAUUGAUUAAAGUAACUCAAAUUAUGCUUGGAAAACAAUCUCAUUUUGCUGAAAAGGCAUCCACUAAAAAAUGCUUUCCUUCACGUUCACAUUGUCGUAAAGGUAUAUCUAUAUAUAUUCUAUAUUUGCAAAUACUUGGCUUCUUGAGUAUAUUUUCACAUAUUCCUGUGAUUAUCUAUUUCACAGAGGGGAAUCAAGGUAUGGUAUAGUUAUUUUACUGAUUUGUGGGCAUAAAAAAUACCUUUUCAAUUCAGAGGUUAAAUUUGAAUGUUGAUAGACUCCAAGUUAUUUUGUAUCUCUUGAGGAAACCGAAAUUUUCUGUUUAUUUUGUUGUUAAAUGUUCUUUUUUUCACGGUUGAUGAAAUAUAUUAUAUUAGUCAUUUAAUUCCUACAUUUUGUGUUUUAACUAGUUUGGAAAAUGUAAUUUGUAGUGUUAUAAAGCAGUCUUGUUAAGUUGUGAUUGAAGCCUAUACGUGGAUGAAUUCUUAAGUUGAGCAAUUACCUUUCAAAAAAAAUAAAAAAAUAAUAAUAAUAAUAAAUAAAUAAAUUCUUAAGUUGACCAAUUAGUCUAACAUUUUCUUUUUGCAUAUUGCUGAUGAUGUGUGCUUGUGCUUAGGUGAACUGGCUUGAGAAGGGUAAUAAAAGAAGAUUGAGCCAUACCAGUUCUGGAAUCAACAAGCUGGAAUGCUGGGCUGUAUCUGAAGUGAAGAGGAGAAAGAGAAUUCAGAACAAACUUUUAUUCUUCAGAUCUGAGAGCAAUUCCAGCCCAAGUCCGGAUAAGAAUGCACUGAAUAAGUAACAAAAAUCACUCCCAUUUACUGCUCUGGCUGUGUAUGGAUUUGAGUUCUCUCCUCCUCUCUCUCUCUCCAUCUCUCCAUAUGUAUGUGUUUAUGUAUGUAUUUGUGGUUUUGAAUUGGAAUCAGAGCUGGGAUUGCUGUAAGAAUUAAUCUCCUUGUAUAGGGAGAUUGUACAGGAAGCAUUGUAGGGAAACAAGUAGCAACACUGCAUUGGCCGGAACAAAAUUAUUUUUUGUCCAAGCUCCAAUGAAUGGUUGCCACUUGUCUCCCUGUAAUGUAUCUGUACAAUCUUCUUGUACAUGUACCCUAAUUGUUAAGUAAUUCAUUUUUACGUCCGAGCCCAUUACUGCUCUGACGCGUGGUGGUUCUGAGAGUGGUUUGGACUCUGGGCCACCAGCCAAUUUCUCCGAUGACGUGCCUCUUAUGGCGCUUUUCUCUUACGCUCAUAUAUAUUCAAUGUGACUAGCUUUCGCUAGUAUAAGUUCAGUGUUUUUCUUUUCCGUUCGUAUAAGUUUAAGAUUUUUUACAAGGAAAAAUUAGACCCUGGGUUCUAACCUUUAUUCUGUGAAUAUUUGUGUCCCCAACUAUAUAUGCACUAACUUUAGAUCAUUCUUUUCAUACUUGUUUCACACAUCAACUUGGUUGAAGUGGUAGAUUGGCAAGUUUCGGUGGCCAAUAGGUUAUUGUCGGUUCAGAAAUCUAAUAUGAUAAAUGUUGUGUUUAGAAGACACAGGGAAUAAAACGUUGAGGGAUAGCUCAAUGGUCAGGCCUUGGGUUUGCUCCCUAAUGAUCACCGGUUCGAGUUCCCUCGGGGUCACUGAGGUGAGUACCUGACUGUAAACUUCAGGGACUCGUGAGAUUAGUCGAGGUGCACCUAAGUUGGCCUGAAUAUCCAUGGUCAUAUAAAAAAAAAAAAAAAAAGACAUAAGGAAUAAUAUAUUAGGCUUAAAAGUUGAGGCGUGUUAUGAGUUAAAACUAAAUGUGAUAAGAUGUAGUAUAGCAUAGAAUUACAAUGAAAACAAAUAGUUUUCUCAAGUAUGUCAUAGUUAUAGACUUGAUUUUAUUUGAUAAGUCACAAACAAUUUUAUGAACAUCAACUUGUUAGUAGUAUUUGAACCGCUUAUAAUUUUUAUAUUGGUUGAAAGUUCAAUCCUUCCAACAGAUAAAAUGCAUUUUGAACCUUACUAGAGAAUUUUUAAUUAGAUUUUGGCCGACUUUUCAAAAAAGCUGCCCCUAUUAGGACUAAAAUUGAUGAGUUGGCUGUUAUUUGAUUGGUUAUAGUGGUCUUUGACUUUGACCAACUAUUUGCAGAUUGGAUUUUUGAGAAAUUGGGACUCACUUGUAAACCAGGUCAUUUUGAAGAAAAAGUGCCUUUUUAAUGCGUGUGAUUAUGUUCACACUAUAUUUAUUUUUGUUGCAUCACAUUUUAAUUACAAUGAAGACCCAACUUUUGCUUAUUGUGGCACUUAUAUCCCCUUUAGACAGUGUUGUCAAGCUAUUGCAAAUUUAUUGUGAUGAUUUCGCUGUAAUUUUCUUCUUUAAGAACAAGUAUUUUGGAGGCAUAAAACAUAUGGAUUUGAAAUACUUGGCCGUUAAAGUUCAGAUACAAGUGUCAAUUGAACAUGUAAGCACUAAAGAUAUGAUUGUAGACCCAUUAACGAAAGGUUGGCACCAAAGAUAUUAACGAACAUGUUGAAAGAAUGGGUAAUAAAUGUAAUUGUUAACGAUUAACAUAUAUUUUGACACUCGAAGCUUACUUGUGUGUUUCUGAUAAUUCAUGUUUUGUUAUUCUAUAUAUGAAUGAUUUAUAGGAAGAAUACUAUUAAAGACAUUGUCGUUUGACCAUAGUGAAACUUCUUUACUUAUGGAUAAUGUUAAGUUAAUAAUUAGUGAAGUGGUUCUUGGGAGGAACAAUGUCUAAUUAAUGACGUACAACCGCCAUACUCAUUAGAUUUUAGCUAGCUUAUGAUGUGCAUCGUGUCCAAAUUAAUAAGAAUGUGCAAGUUUUGUUCAUUAAACCAUAUUAAGGAUUAUAUUAUGAGCCAAGACGGAUAAUAUAAGGAUGUGAUUUGUGAAGAUAAACUUUAAUGAAAUUAUAUAUUUAAUCUUUUAAUGAUGCAAAAUGAAUUCUUUAUAAUCGAUAUAUCUUAUGCAUGGUUACAAAUAAAUAAGUCUACAUGUAAGAUGAAUUAAAUGAAGGUUGUAAAGAACCACUUAUGCAUUGAUGUAAGGUAAUUCAUGAAUGCAUGUGAUGGAUGUGUAUUCAGAAUGUCCUCUCUCCACCCUUUAAAGUUGUACCGAUUUCCAUCAUUAUAUGGUACGUAUUAAAGAGAGCGUAAGAGAGAGAAAUAUGUUCAUGCACAGUUGCUUUGCAGAUACCUACUUUCAAAAUAUCAAUGGAAAACAAAGGUACAUUUUGUUAAUAUAAUGAUUUUCUUCUUCUGCCUAUCUCAGUUAAAUAGGACUCAGUUCAGUUGAACUUUCAGACUUUACAUCAUUUCUUCUUUGUUCUGCGCAAAUUGUUUUAGAAGGGUAUCCAUGUACCGAGAUCGGGUCAAAAAGUUUGUCAGAGGCCUCUGAUGCUGCAAGGUUUUCUUCCCAUGGUGGCAUUUUGAAGCAACCUGUAUUUGAUUCUUCAACCACAAAAUUUCAUGGACAUUCAUCAACUGUCGGCUCCACGUCUUGGGAGAAGUUUAGCUGCUUAUUAUCUGAAAUUGCAUGGCCUUCAAUUCCGAAGUUCCUAGCGAAAGGCCACAUUCAUACAUUACAAAUAAUCUCAGGUCUCUGUCUCUAUUUGACCAUAAGUUAUAUAUUUUUUCUUUUUAAUUUGUUUCAUUUGAGUGCACUUCUUUAGUGUAGUCGGAUUUUGCAUAUCGUGGCUCCCCAGGAGAUACCAAAAACCAUUAUCUUUGUUUUAAUUCGUUACUUUCCAAGGGGAAAUCAUUAUAUUUAGCUUGGUAAGGGCACCAAAGUGGUUAAAUAUAAAACUUUUGAACAGGCUACAAAUUUCUGGAAGCAAGUUGUAUCUUGGCAUGAAAAGGAAGCGAGAAUAGACUGCCAAAAGUACAAAAAAUUUAUGUUAAUGUAUUUAAACAGGCAAUAUUAUGCUCCUUUGGAAGCUUGGUUGUAAAACUCGGGAUCGAAAUACCAUGAUUCCAUGAUCUCAAAUGACAAAACGAUCAAAUCCUGUUGUAAGAUUUUAAAGUUGUAGAAUCUUACUCUGCCAUUGUUGAAUUUUAACUAUUUAGUGAUUCUAACUAUCCUAACCAUCCUCCAUAUUUUUAUCAAUAUAGACUUUUUAGCUUUACUUUUAAUAAAUUAAAAAGAAUGGAUUGUUAUUAAGUUAGGUAUAGUUUCAUUUUGAAUUAAGACUCAGAAAGAGAGAGAGAGAGAGAGAGAGAGAGAGAGAGAGAGAACAAUAGAAUUUCUUAUCUUGAAAAUGUUAUCCUUUAUUUUUUUCGCCUUUUGUGGAAAUCAACGGUGACAUUCCUUCAAUAGUGAUAUUUUUUUAAUCUUUGUCUUUGUUUCUUUUGUUUCUUUAGCUCUUGUUUGGCCCCAUUAUAAUGAGAUUUUGGGAAAAUAUAUUUUAGGAUAGUAAUUUUUUAAAGAAUUCAUGGUUAAAAAAGAAUAAAAGGUUUUGGAUUUACGUAUAAUACUAUUUUAUUGAAAAAUGUGUGGUCGAUAAGAAGAUGGAGAAAAAUAAAUUAUAAUUUUAAUGUGGGCCAAACUAAGGCUUAGUCACUUUUAAAACAGCUCAUUUGUAAUUUGCUUUUAAUCUAUAUGUUUUUUUUUGUUUUUUUUUUUCGUGUGUUGAAUUUCUAAUUGAUUUGUUGAAAAUAAAUCGUAGAAGUGGACUUGAUUUUAUAGGUUCAUAAUGUAAUGAUUGUUCAUAUAAUUUAUGGUUGGGUAUAAUUUUGGUAAAUAUCCACGGUGAUUGGUGUUCAUGAUUUGUCAUACAAAUAUUAAUUGUAAUUAAAAAAAAUGAUCUUAAAAAAUUGAAAAUAAAGGGUACUUUGAUUUCGGGUACUUGUUUAACAUUUAAAUGAAAUUUUUAUUUGACUUCUUUUGCAUUUUCAUAAAUCAAUUGUGUACCUUUAUAAAGUAUUUGUGACCUUGGUUUUAUAGUUUAAUUUUAGUUAGUUAUGGUUAUUUGUUUGUUAUUAAGAAUAUUUAACAUUUAUCUAUGUUUCAAAAUAUUGUUGUUAAGAACAACCGCCACCACCCAACCCCAUACCCACCAAACCACCACCCAUUCACCAUCGACCCUUGAUGAUGUCGGCGACGAAAAUAUCGUGUCGCCCGGCAAACCGUUGGAGACCGGCCUCAUGCCAAUAAUACAGCCGUACACUCAAGCAGUGGCCCUAGGUGGUAACCCUAGCACCGCUGCUCAAACAGUCAAUCCGACUGGUGGCAAGACUAUUUGGGAUGGUACGGCGGCUAUGGGAGAUGGCGAAAUUGGUGGAAGAAACACUAUUACGGAUAGUGAAGUGAAUUGGACUGUAGCCCUAACUUAGAUUCGGCCGGUUCCAGCCACUUCCCAGGCAAACGCGUCUGACCGGUGGGCUGUGCAAGUGAUUUCGGUCAGGGAGGCAGGGCGGCGAGAUGCACGCGUCGUCGAAACGGUGCGUGGAGGACACGCGCCGUUACCGAAAAACCUGGAAAUUCUCUAGAAUGCUCCCUGACCACCUACGAUGCCUAUUCCAUCGUCAAAUGUGCCAUUUAUACACAAUCAGGGGAGAAAGUUAAUGGAUGGAGACGGCAUGGUAUUCAACUAUCGUUUUCGAGUGGAGGCGAAGAGUUUGCAAUUUUUGUUAACAAUCUCGAUGUUGUUAGGAUGAUCGAGUGGGGCUCGAAGUUAUGGGGUGAGUUUGUGGAAGUAUAUCCGACGAGGAUGGAAUGACUUUCGAGAGAAAUUGACUUAUAUGAUGGGAAAUGGCUAUAGUAUCAGAUUUUGGGAUGAUUGUUGGUGUGAAGAUUAUCUGCUAAAGGCACGGUUUCUUUCGUUGCAUCGCAUUGCCUUGGAGCCUACCGCUAUGGUGAAUGAUGUCCUAGCCAUACAUAAUGGAAAUUAUAGCUGGAAUAUUACCUUUGAGAGGGGUUUGCAGGAUUGGGAACUGGAUGAUUAUGCACUGUUUUUGACCUCCUUGCACGAGAUGCAUAUUCAGGUGGGAGAGGAUGAUAGGAGCAGAUGGAAGCUGGCGCGGGAUAGUAUUUUCUCAGUUUGCACUUAUUUUAGAUCUAUAUUGGAUCGAUAGAGAGUUCAUUUCCUUGAAAGAUGGUGUGGUAAUGUAAAAUGCCCCACAGGUAGCUUUCUUGUUACGGACGAUUGUGAGGGGGUAGACAUUAACGGUGGAUAAUCUUCGUAGAAAAGGUUUUUACGUUAUCGAAUGAUGUUAUAUGUGCAAGAGAGACGGAGAAACGAAUGACCAUUUGUUUCUCCAUUGUGAAGGUGUCCGGUGGUUGUGGAACAUUAUUCUAGCUUCCCAACAUAUGGAUUGGGUGAUGCCUAGGCAUAUGGAGGAUGUGUUGUGGGCAUGGAGGAGAAAAUUCCGAGAUAAGGAUAGUAGGCUUGCGUGAAACCUUAUUUCGGAAUGCAUUGUAUGGUGUGUAUGGAGAGAAAGGAACAACCGUUGUUUCGAAGACCAAGCAAGAACAAUAGAGCAAAUUAGAGAAUGGUUCUAUAUUACUUUAUAUACUUGGUUUAAGGCUGCAGCCACAAAUUAUGUAGAAUGGCUACCAAACCUUAUGUCGUUUCUUUCCUAUUUAAAUUGAUAAUACACUCCCCAUGUAUUAUCUAUUAAUAAAAUUACUUGAUUACUUAUAAAAAUAAAAAAAAAUAUUGUUGUUAAGAACAUGUGACAUUUAUCUAUGUUUUAAUACAUAUUUAAUAAGAAUCUCACAAUCAUCUAUUCGAUCCGACCAUCUGAUCCACAAGACCUCUUCACCGAUCCGAUCUAAAAUUUCUAUUGUGACAACCUUGUUUGGAAGUCUCUACAUGUUACGAUAUCUCAAAAGUAUGAUUUUUAUAUAUUUAGUAGAGAAAGUAGUGUAUCUUCUCAACCCUAAGGGUAGUUCAGUGGUCAAGUUUGGAUUUGCUUUCCAAUGGUCACCAGUUCGAGUUUCAUCAGAGUCAUUGAGGUGAGUACCUGGCUAUAAACUUUAGGGCUCGUGGGAUUAGUCGAGGUGCGCGUAAGUUAGUCCGGACACCCACGGUCAUAAAAAAAAAAGGAAAAGAAAAGUAGUGUAUUCUCUCUUGGCAUCUACCUAUAAUGAAAGAAAAAAAUUACUUGUUGGCUAGUUUGUACACAAAGUUUCCUUCCUUCUCUUUGGAUGGAUCUCUUAGAGUAAUCACUUCGGUUUAGUUUCUAUCCCAUGUGGAAGUGUCUUCCGUAAUUUAUAUUUUCUUCAGAAGACCCCUCGGCUGCUCAGAUCCAAAAUUAAGUUCUUGACAACCUUGUUUGGAGUGACAAGAAUUGGCUCAAUGAUUCUUACCGGCAUGUAUUGCUUUCCUUUAUAGACUAUUACAAAGAAAAUUAAGGAAAGAAGUUUGCUAUACAAAAUUAACGUCCCUAAUUUUAUCGCAGCUACCAAUUCUAUAAAAGUUAUACACAGAAACCCCUAAUUAGCUAUAAAUGAUGUAAUACCCCCCUUAAUUUGAUGUUGGUGAGUCCACAAGCAUCAAUUUACCUACAAGAAAAUCAUGAUAGAGGCUAGGCAAGGAUUUGGUGAAGAUAUCAAUGAUUUGUUGAGUAGUGGAAAUGUCGGGAAGAGUUAUGACCCUAGAAUCAUAGGCAUCUGGGAUGUCGCAUUUUGAAUAGCGCUAGUGUUGCCACCAUGGAGAGGUGUAGGCUGUGAUUGGGGAACUCCAAGUUCUACUAGAAGGCUUUGCAACCACACAAUCUCUGCAUUCAGUCUCAGUGGAGGACUUAGAAACACAAUCCUAUUUCAUACAUUACUAAGAAAUAAGAACAUUACCUAGAAAGAUACACCACCCAGUUGUAGAUCGACGAAAAUCAAGACAGUCAGCCCAAUCAGCAUCACUAUAGACAGUGAACUCAAGGGACGUCCCCUUAGGAAAGAAUAGACCACGAUGAGAGUCCCAAUAAGAUAUCUAAUAAUGUGGCGGACAGCCACCAAAUGAAGAUGACAAGGAGCAUCCAUAAAUUUGUUACGGUAUGUACUGCGAAGGAAAUAUCUGGACGCGUGAUGGUGAGAUAGAUCGGAAUCUCCUCCAACCUCCAAUUUAGAGUAAGUUUUGGAAGAAUAUCGACUUUAUCUUUUAGGUAUUUGACAUUAACUUCCAACGGAGUAUCAACUGAGAAGGCUUCAGAUGAAUUAGCCAACCUAAUCAAGUCUUUAAUAUACUCAUAUUGAUUCAAGAAGAUGCCAUGUGGUGCUGAAUUAACCUCCAAAUCAAGAAUAUAAGUGAGACGACCAAAGUUUUUCAUAAGAAAAACAAAGUAAAGACGUUGGAGCUUCUGAAUAAGUAUGUCAUCAGAGCCAGAGAUAAUAAUAUCAUCCACAAACAUCAACAAGAGAACAAUGCUAGUAGUACUCUUGUGAAGGAACACAGAUGCGUUCUACUGACUGUGGGUAAAGGAAAAAUCCAAGAGAGUGCAGCGGAGCUUGUCAAACCAUGCUCGAGGGACUUGCUUGAAACCAUAAAAAAAUCGUUUUAGUUUACAUAUAGAGUCGAGGGAAUACGCAUACCUGAUGGAAGUUUAAUACGAACGUCUUCUUUGAGGUCUCCAUGUAAGAAUGCAUUCUUUACAUUUAUUUGAUGCAAAGACCAAGACCUAGAGGUGGCAAGUGAUAACAAGAGAUGAAUGGUGGUCAUUUUAGCCAACGAAGCAAAUGUCUCAUCAAAGUAUGGAUUUCAUAUGGUUAGAAGAAAAAGUGGCGUGUCUUCUCUCUUGGGCAUCUAACUAUAAGAAAAGAACAAAAAAUUACUUGUUUGUCUAUUUCCAAAAGGAAGUUUCCUCCCACUUCUUAGGGUCAGUCUCUUCUGACAGUGAGACUUUUAUCUUUAGAGUAAUUGAUUUGCCUAAGUUUCUAUCAUAAGUGAAAUUGCCUGCUUGUUAAUUAUGUUUUCUUCCCAUUGUUAAGAGACUCUCCUUCUUGAACUGAGAAUGUAGCUGAUAGCAUCAUUAUAAUUUUCCUCUUCGACAUGUUCACUCUUUUUCCUUUUCAAGAUGACGUGCAUCCGUCUGCUUGGUAUCGCUCCUCUUUUCUUUGAAAGGCUUUCUAGAAAUUGUGGCAUGAUAUUGGAAAAUGUAGAUACCAUUAAGUUGUUUUAUGAUUUGACAGAUUGGGGAAAGUCAUCAACUUGGCUCUUUUGCUUGGUCUAAAAACAUUCUGCAGUAAUAAAACUGCUUCAACAAUCGGUGACCAUUAACUUUUUUUCCGCCAAUUUUCAUAUACAUUAUAAAAUGUUAUUGGUGACUAAUUAUUUUGAUUGCUUACUUGGACUGCAGAAAACUUCUUAAAGAUGAAGUGAAUAAGCAAAUAGCAAUCCUUUCUGGUUUAUUAUGGGAGAAAAGUUCUGGCAUUCGGGAUGACCAGUAUAAAGUCAAAAUCUUCACCUUUUGAUGAGUCGUUGCAGACGAGAAAGCUUUUAACAGAAGAUUCUGUUUUUUUUCUUGAUGGAACAAAAAUGCACAUUGUAGACUUCGAAGCAUUGAUCAAUAUGGAGAAAGGUGACCUUGAGGAGGAUCCAUGGGAAUUCUCUUUUAAAAAAUGCACAUUGUAUAGUCUUCAGUGGUUUCUAGAAAUUUUAAGGACUGAAAUGAAUUUUUUUGUGAAAAAUUAAGACCCAUAAUUUAUGGUCUUGAAAAUAUUGUAAUGAUGACUCGUAAUGAGAAAUUGGGUUUAGGUUUAAGACUGGAGGUUGGAGCCUAAAUGCAGUAAGUGUAAAGUUAAGAAGCUAAAUUGUAGAUAUUGAGAAAUAUAUUAUUAGAUGAGAAAGUAAAGAAUAAGAUUAAAUAGAGACGAUAAUGAUCAUUGAAUGCUAAGGAUUCAUAUUGGGCCUCUUUUCAUAAUCUUGAAAUGUUCAUCGACUAAAAUGAAAAUACAUUUUGG
RNAcentral lists this long non-coding RNA (17189 nucleotides) under Olea europaea subsp. europaea. Lineage: Eukaryota; Viridiplantae; Streptophyta; Magnoliopsida; Lamiales; Oleaceae. The record is from RNAcentral.